UCCCAUACCCCCCUUCUCUACCUCUGGGGCCCACAGUAAACCCAAGGUAAGCCGGGCGGGGGAGGGUACUUUUCCGUCUGGGUCUGAAAGGGGAGCUUCCUUUAUAUGUUGAAAAUGGAAUUCAUCUCUGUAAUGCCAUUUUGGCACUUGAGACGUUAUGUCUUAAGAAAAACAAAACACAGCAGGUUGUCAACCGUGUAAACUGUAGACAGGGGUUUCCUGCAAGGCAGGUGGUUCUGCAUCCUGACGCCCACAGCCCUCAGAUUCUCAGAGGUGGGAAACUGCAGCCAGGACAAGGGUGAGAUGAGCAAGGCACAAAAUUCCCGGGGCUGCCCCAAACCCAGGCAUUAAGACUUACAACAUUUUAAAAUUAUGGUCAAACUAUACUGUAAACCAGCUAUAACGGCAAAAUUAAAAAUCAAGAUAAGUGAAAAUAAAAUAAAAUAAAAUUAUGGUCAAACACACAUACAUAAUACAAACUUCCCCUUUUCACCGCGUUCAAGUUCAGCAGCAUCAAGUUCAUUCACACUGUUAGGCAGCCACCCCCACCCUCCACCCCCACCCUCCACCAUAGUUUUAUUUUAUUUUAUUUUUAUCUUGAUCACCUGAAACUCUGCCCCCAGGCACGAUAACUGCCCAGAUAAAUACCAUCCUAAUGAAUUUUUUAAUUAAACUUUAUGUUUUAGAGACAUUUUAGGUUCACCGCAAAGGUGAGAGGAAGUUAUAGAAGUGUCCCUCCUGUCCCCUGCCCCCCACCAGCUUCCCACAUUAGUGGUGCAGUUGCUCUGCUCCACAACCUACACUGACCCCCGCAGCCUGCUGUCUGGUGGUGGAAACAUCCUCCGGGGUUGGACAAAUGGGCGAUGACAGGCUGCAUCCUUGCGGUGGGUACAGGCAUGGCCACGGCCCCACACUCCUCCGUGCUUGUCCUCGUCAUCCCUGCCCCAACCCCAGGCGGCCACUGGUCUCCCAUCGCCAGAGUGUUGCCUUUUCUAGGCGGUCACGGAAUUGGAAUCCAACAGCGUGGAGCCUUUUCAGAUAGGCUUCUUCCACUUGGUUAUAUGCGUCCAAGUGUCUUAUACAGUAUUUUUUUUAAAGCUCAACCUUGACGCAAACAUCCAGGAUGAACAAAAUAUCAGCACUCAAAGGCUGGAGCAAUAGUAGCGCCCCCCCAACUGCCCCCCCAAACAUCUUCACUUUAGCAAACGCCGCCAUGCGAACUCGUCACACAUUCUGUCCUGUAAUAAAACUGGGACGUUUUCCUUUGACCACUUGCUGCCAAUAUUUUCACUCUUUGAGGAGGCCGUCUAAGUGAAUUAUUAAGCCGGCCGUGGCAGAUUGGACUCGGAGCCCGCUGGCUGCGCGGGCCCUGCUCCCCCCGCCUGCCCCACCCCGCCCCUGCCCAACGUUUCUGGGAAGUUCCUAGGUGGUGGGUGGUGUAGGUUACAGCUGAGACAUUCGUUCAGAUCAUACAAAUAAAUAAAGGCUGGAGAAGCAGCAUGGAGCGUGUGUCCUCAGCGUCCAGCACAACCUCCCACCACUGUUUCCAGAGCUUUUCCUGGCUGGACUUCAGAAUAACUUCGUCUGAGUUUCAGCAGAAAAGUGCUUCCAGGGGUGAAAGAAUGACUUUAGCCCUGUCCCUUCAUGAGCUCAGUCCUUUCCAGCCCUCUUCCCACCCACCAGGGGCUGCGAGGUGGGGGUGGAGGGGCUGUGGGUUCUGGAACAUGCUGGCUCCCUCCUUUAACCAGGGCUCUGGGGUGAGCAGCCCAGGGGGGCACCUCUGAGCCACAUGAUGCACUGCGGCAGCAUCCCCAGGGAGCCCUGAAGCUCCUGGCAGUGACCGGGAAGAAAAGCCGUCACGCCUGGGAGGCUGGUCCAGGGAGGACGUCAGAGGGUGCCGUUUCUGGCAUCCCUUAGAUGGAAGAGGGUCUCCAGGCGUCUCGGAUGCCAGGGGGUGACGCGGGCAGUGUGGAUUUCUGAGGGUGUUGGGUCCAUGGUGGGGGGGGGAGGCUCCAGGUCUGAUAGCAACAGUGUGGGGAGGCGGGGAGAGGGACAGCAGUGGGGGCCGCAGGGCCGGGAAGGAGCCCCGCCCCAAGGCUACCCAAGAGCCCUUCUGGGCACAGUCCACUUUCUUCCGACGGCCACCCGGCUCCUGGCAAAGUGGUGAGAAGCCAGCGAGAGUCCCUCCUAGAGAGAGAUGAAAAGGCAGCCCUCCCACUCCCAGGGACAGAUCACGGAGAAGCCAAGGCGCACCGGCAGGAAGGCCUGCCUGCCUCCCCGUGGGCAUCUCCUGCCGGUUAGCAGUGUGCCACUUGAAAAGGAAUCUGGAUGGGUUUCCUGUUGAUCUCCUGGAAGCAGCUCUUGGCUUCUAGAGCAGAGGAUCCUUGGAUUUUCAAGGAUCUACGGGAGAAAUGGCUGAAAAUGGUGCCUCUUCCCGACUUUGUGAAUUGCGACGCUGGGAGAACAGGACCCAGAUCCUUCGCCAGAGACGUGGGCUCCGCCUCACAGGCAGCUUCUCAGUAGAAAAGGACAAGAAGGACUGGAGGGGGCUUGGGGCCGAAUCCCUGGGCCCUGCGAACACUUGGGUCCCUUACACCCACCCUCACACCUGUGGGCGGCCGAGGACUUGUCCCCGGAUCUCAAGGCUGAAGAAAGAGGCUCCCAGGGGUCAGGCAGCCGCCCCUCCCCGCCCGCCCGCCGGUCCCGCCACGGGAUGCGCGCAGCUGGAGGGGCAAGUGGGGUCCGGGGCACACGGUGCUGGGACUGAGUCAAGACUGGCCGCACGUUCGGCCCCAGCAGCCCAAGGCUUCUCUUUCAGAAGCGAAAUGUUUCGUGUCCUGCGUUUUGACAGCCAGUGUGGGAUAAAGUUAAAAGCAUCCGGUGGUAUUUUCCCAGAAGUGGUUAUUCUAAGAUUUCCCGGAUCCGAAUGCAACUGGCCCUUCUUGGCAGAGCCAAGACCCCAGGAGCCCGAGGUGGUCUGUGCAGCCCCGAGACCAUCUGGAGCAGGCAGGUGCCCCACGUGACCCGGCCCCAUGGGUGGGGGUGUGCCCCGCCCCCCAAGCUUCCUCCCAGCUCUCAGCGGCGGUGUGGCCUUUGAUGCCCUGUGGAAAGAAGACGCGGAGGGCAGGGGCCGCCCCCAGCAGCGGGCCUUCAGCCGGCGUCCUGGCUGCGUGAUUCCAGGGCAGAGAAAGGGCCACCUGACAUCUUGUAGGGCCCUGGUGGGCUUGCGGGAUGGGGGAACCUGGGGUUCCCGGGGCCCAUCCCAGGCCUGGCAGAGGAGAACUCUUCUCCCCUGCCCCCCAAAGCAGAGUGCUGGGUGCUGCUCCCCAGAUCUUGCCUAACGGCUCAGGGCUUGGCUGGGGGCCUUUUAGACGCCUCCAGUGAGGUGAGUAGAAUGUAUCCACAUGUUUUUAUGGUGAAAACUCAGGCCAGAAGCUUCCAAGGAGGUGGGUGGGGUGGGCGCGUGUGGAAAUUCCUCCCGCGUUGAAGUAGGUUCUGCAAGGAACCAUUGCCCUGCUGCCUUUCAAAAAACAGCGAAAGUUAAGCUCAUCCCUAAACCACCCACUGAGCCAGCACAGAACUUCUCUGAAACAAUCUGCAAACGCCACACGCCUGACGGCCAGGAUGGUCUUUCCCGGACGGUGAAUGUUGCCAAACAAAGAAGCGAAUAGGAGGAGGGAAGGGGAAGCAGUGCAGACUGUACAGGUGUCUUUCUGUGUCUUCCUUCGGGCAGGGAAGUUCGUACAAAAAGUGCAAAUGAAAAUACAACCUCAAGCAUUGUGUGUUGCUUCUAAAUUGGCCUUGAUUUGCGUGACCGCUUGAUAUGUCUUUGCUACAUCCUGGGCCUCCAAUUGUGAGUUUUCUUUCCUCCACCGUUAGAUUUCUGUCCUUUUGAAGUAAGGAAACAUCCGUGGUUUCUUUCAAGCAAUGUUAGGCGGCAUUUUUUUUUUUAACGAGUCAGAGCAGGAAGAGGCCACUGAGCCUCCCUGGCUCACGUCCUGAAAUCCCAACGACCUCUCAGAAAGCCACGUCACACCCUACCCAUCCAGCGAGGGUCUCUGCAGCAGGAGAGGAGGUUUCAGAGCCCUUUCGACUUUAAAAACCUUUAGAGCUGGUUUGAAAAGCCUCCAAAAGUUUGGAGAAAUAACUUGGAACAUUUGAGGCUAAAAUUGGGGUGGCUAUUUCCCUCCUAAGGAAACGAUUCAGAAAAAUCCUUUCUUUCCUCAGAGAAUUCCACCCCAGUGGCCUGCCCAAAGCUCCCCAGUGGACAGAUGGCUGAGAUGCUCAAACUCUGGGCUCUUUCUGUUUACCCACUGGGGGGAGGGUACCUCCAGCUGGGCUUGUAAACCACACCCCCUACCCCCCGCCGGUCCCCACUGAGAACCAGGCUUUGAGAUCUGCAUGGGAGGGGAAGGAGUUUGGAACCCACGUGCUCACCCUCUUCAAAUAACACCUACUUAAGACUCAGUUAACAGAACAUCUAGGUUCUCACUAGGCAAAAAACCAGCAAGGAGAAGAAUUCCAGUCCCAACUCCCGAUCUCAUUUUCUCAGAAAAGGUUUGAAGGGCCCCGCCUUAAAAGACAGGUACAGGGUGGACCACCCAGGUGCCCAACACGGCGCCACCUUGGUCACUAAGGGGUCUCCCUUUCAGGGUCGUGCUCCUUCUAAGGCAGAACAGCAGAAAUGACAAGGAAAAUGUCCUGCUGAGGCCCAGCAGCAGGAAGUGGGCAGUGCUGCACCUGCUCACGUGACAUGACCGAGCACAGUCCCUGGCGUGGUCUGGGCCACUUGACACAGUGUGGGUGUGUGCGGGUGAGCCUCUAAUGCCUCAGCCGUUCCGGCUGCGAGUGCCUGACUGGUGGAGUCUCUGAAUAGAAGCAGCUGCUCAGGGGCCUGCGGGCUCUGUGCAGGCCUGGCCACCAGGAGUCUGCCCGCUGCCAUCCAGGCAGACACUAAACGUGUUCCUCCAUCAAGCCUGCUGCCGGGAAGCCCUGCGCCCACACUCAUCAGAGGAGCCGGGCUGGGCUCCGGCCCCGCGCCCAGUGUGGGCUGUCGUUUUUUUUAAAGGUUCAUUAUCAAACCGCAAGAUGUGUGGUCAUAUUUCCUUGUCAGAGUUAAAAAUAAAAGCCGGUGCCCUCAAAUCACGACAUCGAGUCCUUUCCAUCAGAACGUGAUUGCUUUGGCUAUCUGGGAACGAAUUCCAGGGGUACCGCGCGCAUGGUGCUCCUCCGAUAGGGGAGACGCCCAGGGGAUCGUGGGGACAGCCCGGCUUAUCCUUUGAGGCAGCACAUUCUUAUUUCCAAUCGUACCCAUUUUAUUUACCUUUGCUUCCCCCUAAAAUACACUACAAACUUCUCAGCCAUCAUAGUACCUGAUUUUUUAAAAUUACGGUGACAGGUACAUACCGAAGCUGCUUGCUCUGAUCGUGGCCGCGAGUGCGGCUCCGGGAGCGGAGACGCAUCCCCAGGGUUGUGCAGCCAUCAUCACCCACAGAAACUGACUCGUUUGAACAUGAAUGGACCUUGUUUUGAUGACUCGGCGUCGCCGUCUCCACCUGCAGGGCUAUGUCGUCUUGUUUCUAUAUCCUCUUGCUGAGGACGCAUGACGUGCGUGCUCAGUUUACUGCGUAGACGAGGCAACCUCGGGCCCCUAGGGUUGGGGGUCGCGAGCAGCGUUGUCAUUGCUCCUGUUUCUGCUGUUCUUUGUCUUCUCCCCGCAGAGCGUAACACCGAUUUUUCUCCGCUCUCGGGGCCCUGGCCUGCCGCAGCCACUCUUUCCUAAUCUUGCACAGGCGAAAGUCAGUCAUCAAACCUGCAAAAAUGCUGAAGCACGCAUUCCUCUGCCGAGAAGGCUUUCCCACGAGUGAGGGUCGAAGCCGCCGGUGAGGGGCCUGCACCAUGUGCCUCUCGUGCUUCGGGAAACCUUUCUGCUCCCCCCGUCCCGUCCUUGACUUUGUCUCCAGUUGUCGUGAUUGACAUGCGUCUGACCUGUGAAGAAGAGAAGGACCCUCAUUCCCGGGAAUCUCAGUUGCCCGGAGCUCCUCUUCACAUCAAAGGCAGGAUGCGAUCUUGGCAUCUGGAGGCCUCGGCCCCACUGGGAAAGCUAAGGAGAAAAUUCAAUUAAGCAGACAAAAAUUUAAGCAAAACUCCCUUUCGGCUUCCUAUCAUUUCCUGCCGUAGAAAUAAAAGACAGAUUCUUUC
This 6201-nucleotide long non-coding RNA is filed under the name Sus scrofa (pig). RNAcentral describes it as "lncRNA (ENSSSCG00040028306.1)". Lineage: Eukaryota; Metazoa; Chordata; Mammalia; Artiodactyla; Suidae. The record is from RNAcentral.